GCCCACCAAGGCGACGAUCGGUAGCCGGACUGAGAGGUUGAACGGCCACAUUGGGACUGAGACACGGCCCAGACUCCUACGGGAGGCAGCAGUGGGGAAUAUUGCACAAUGGGGGAAACCCUGAUGCAGCGACGCCGCGUGGAGGAAGAAGGUCUUCGGAUUGUAAACUCCUGUUGUUGAGGAAGAUAAUGACGGUACUCAACAAGGAAGUGACGGCUAACUACGUGCCAGCAGCCGCGGUAAAACGUAGGUCACAAGCGUUGUCCGGAAUUACUGGGUGUAAAGGGAGCGCAGGCGGGAAGACAAGUUGGAAGUGAAAUCCAUGAGCUCAACCCAUGAACUGCUUCCAAAACUGUUUUUCUUGAGUAGUGCAGAGGUAGGCGGAAUUCCCGGUGUAGCGGUGGAAUGCGUAGAUAUCGGGAGGAACACCAGUGGCGAAGGCGGCCUACUGGGCACCAACUGACGCUGAGGCUCGAAAGUGUGGGUAGCAAACAGGAUUAGAUACCCUGGUAGUCCACACUGU
Molecule: ribosomal RNA, 523 nt
Filed under: uncultured bacterium
Lineage: Bacteria
Description: bacterial SSU rRNA
Rfam family: Bacterial small subunit ribosomal RNA
Source: RNAcentral